RNAcentral lists this long non-coding RNA (1179 nucleotides) under Piliocolobus tephrosceles (Ugandan red Colobus). RNAcentral describes it as "lncRNA (ENSPTEG00000019477.1)". Lineage: Eukaryota; Metazoa; Chordata; Mammalia; Primates; Cercopithecidae. The record is from RNAcentral.
AUGAGUAUACGAAAAAAAGAUAUUAUGUCUAAUAAAGGGUUAUUAAAUAGUUGGGAUAAUUUUGAGCAAUUAGAUAACCCAAGUGAAGAAUUCGGAACCGACGCAGUAACAGGUAAACAAAAUAAUUUCGUCACUAACGAUAGUAAUGGCAACAAUAUCGAUUAUAAUAAUGACCAAAAUAAACACGUUUCUUUUAAACAUGGUAUAUCAGGUAUACUAAAAAAUAAUAAUAAUAAUAAUAAUAAUAAUAACAUACAUUAUAAGGAUGGUAAGUUUCGUAGUAAUAGUAUAAUGUUACUUCAAGGGGAUGAAGAUUAUACGCUAUUCGAGGAACAAUUAAUAAUUACUAUUCCAAACUGUGAUUUACUUAGUCAUAAAAAUAAAAUAUACAACGAUAAUUUUUAUAUGUAUAUUUCUAGUAGUGAUGACGAUAGUGAUGACGAUAGUGAUGACGAUAGUGAUGAUGAUAGUGAUGAUGAUAGUGGUGAAAAAAAAAGUGGCGAGGAAAAAAAAAUAUUGAUAAAAAAAAAAGGGACAAGCACUACAGAGUCACCCAAUUUAGUUGGAAAAGCAAAAACAGAGGAAACAUCAAGUUAUUAUAAAAAUAUGAAAUACUUAAAAAGAAAAUAUAAAAAAUUAGUAUAUUUAAAUCAACGUUUCAACUUUUAUCAAAACUUUAAAAACAUGCAAAAAUUAAACAUAAAUGAUAACUGUUUAUAUUGGAUUGAAUUAUUAAAUAUAUUAAAAGAAGAUAAUGUACCUCCAAAAAUUGUUUACUCAAAUGAAAUAAAAACAAUUAACCCUUGUGAAUAUUUUGAGUCAUCUCUUAUAUUUUCUUUUAGUGUUAUAAAAUUUAUUUCUCUAAUUUUAAAUUCGAAUAAACUAUAUAGCAUAUGUUUAUCAUAUUUAAAAAAUUCAAGCAAGCAUGAUAAACCCGAUAAAAUAUAUAAUGAACAAAACAUUCAUAUUGAAAAAAAUAAAAUGGAAGAAAUGUAUUUUAUACAAUCAUUAUUUACAUCAACCAAAUUAGAAGCCUUAUGCUCAUUUAUUAUUAAACAAGUAUGUACUUACUUGCAAAAUGAUAAAACACCUUUCCACUUACCUAUUAUCAAAACUUUAGCUAUUAUAUCCAUAUUAAAGCCUUCUUCCUAUUUUUUGAUUAAUUCAAAACGGAAGUAG